RNAcentral lists this long non-coding RNA (336 nucleotides) under Homo sapiens (human). Its description in RNAcentral is "HSALNT0320877". The record is from RNAcentral. Lineage: Eukaryota; Metazoa; Chordata; Mammalia; Primates; Hominidae.
UCCUCACAUAUAGGUCUCAAGCCUCUUAUCUGUGUAUUGGAUCUCAUCAUUUUCUCCUUCCUCUGGAAGAAGCCUGGUCUCUCCUACAUCUUGAAUCUGCCCCUCGCUACUUGCUUCUCCUCCCUUCUGACAGGCAACCAAAUUAGCCAUGGAAGGAACAGCAGACAGACAGAGCAGACAGCCCAGGAAGGAGACUUUGAGGACGCUGCAUUUUGGACAGAAGGGCGAGGGAAGGAACAUCGCAGCAGGAGGAAGCAAUACAGGAAAUAGAAUUUUCAAGAAUCUGUGAAGCACCACAAUACAUUUACUAUAAUGAAUUAAAAAAAAUUGAAAAAA